This 465-nucleotide ribosomal RNA is filed under the name Vreelandella stevensii. RNAcentral describes it as "partial 16S ribosomal RNA". It matches the Rfam family "Bacterial small subunit ribosomal RNA", at positions 338 to 795 of the family's 1533-position model. Lineage: Bacteria; Pseudomonadati; Pseudomonadota; Gammaproteobacteria; Oceanospirillales; Halomonadaceae. The record is from RNAcentral.
CCUACGGGUGGCAGCAGUGGGGAAUAUUGGACAAUGGGCGAAAGCCUGAUCCAGCCAUGCCGCGUGUGUGAAGAAGGCCUUCGGGUUGUAAAGCACUUUCAGUGGGGAAGAAAGCCUUGGGGCUAAUACCCUCGAGGAAGGACAUCACCCACAGAAGAAGCACCGGCUAACUCCGUGCCAGCAGCCGCGGUAAUACGGAGGGUGCGACCGUUAAUCGGAAUUACUGGGCGUAAAGCGCGCGUAGGCGGUCUGAUAAGCCGGUUGUGAAAGCCCCGGGCUCAACCUGGGAACGGCAUCCGGAACUGUCAGGAUAGAGUGCAGGAGAGGAAGGUAGAAUUCCCGGUGUAGCGGGGAAAUGCGUAGAGAUCGGGAGGAAUACCAGUGGCGAAGGCGGCCUUCUGGACUGACACUGACGCUGAGGUGCGAAAGCGUGGGUAGCAAACAGGAUUAGAUACCCUGGUAGUC